RNAcentral lists this ribosomal RNA (392 nucleotides) under uncultured bacterium. RNAcentral's name for it is "partial 16S ribosomal RNA". It matches the Rfam family "Bacterial small subunit ribosomal RNA", at positions 523 to 918 of the family's 1533-position model. The record is from RNAcentral.
AUACGGAAGGUCCGGGCGUUAUCCGGAUUUAUUGGGUUUAAAGGGAGCGCAGGCGGCCUUUUAAGCGUGACGUGAAAUGUAGGCGCUCGACGUCUGAAUUGCGUCGCGAACUGUUAGGCUUGAGUAGACGGAAUGUCGGCGGAAUUCGUGGUGUAGCGGUGAAAUGCUUAGAUAUCACGAAGAACUCCGAUUGCGAAGGCAGCUGACAGCAGUCUUACUGACGCUCAUGCUGGAAAGUGCGGGUAUCGAGCAGGAUUAGAUACCCUGGUAGUCCGCACGGUAAACGAUGGAUGCCCGCUGUUUGCUUUUGAAAUAAGCGGCCAAGCGAAAGCAUUAAGCAUCCCACCUGGGGAGUACGCCUGCAACGGUGAAAAUCAAAUGAAGUGACGGUG